Apis cerana (Asiatic honeybee) is the source of this 8533-nucleotide long non-coding RNA. RefSeq lists it as uncharacterized. Lineage: Eukaryota; Metazoa; Arthropoda; Insecta; Hymenoptera; Apidae. The record is from RefSeq and is a predicted model, not a curated record.
GAGAAAGUUAAUUAAUUAUUGGAAAUUAUUUUCGAUAUAUAGAAAUCUACAGUUAAAUGAUAAAAUAUUAUAGUUCAAUUUUCGCGCACUAAAGCAAAUAGAGAAUAAUAGCAUUUUAGCCAAUCAAAAAGCUGCUAAAACUUGGCAGCGAAACGAAUCAGUGCGCAUCAUUAUGCGCAUGUCGUCAGUCUAUCGUUGAAAAGUGUAGUGAUAGGACUCGUUUCGUAGGUAAAAAUUAUCAUUUGAUUGAAGCAUCAAAAAUGGAUGGAUGUAAUACACGUAAGAUAUAUAUAACUGAUUACUGAGGUUACUUUAAGCAGAAAAAGAAUUUUCAAUAUGGAUGCUAUGAUGAUUCACAGAGGAGAAGUAAAAUUUAAAUUCUUAUAUCGAAGAAAGAAGUAUAAGUAUUAUUAUAUUGUGACCAUGUGCAAUGUGGUCAGUAGAUUCAGUGUUUGUUUCGUAAUAGUAUUUUUAAAUAUUUUCGAGUACAAUAGUUUUAAGUAAAUUUAAUUAUAAUAAAUAUACGCGAAAUUAAAGUCAGUGCUCAUUCGCCGAUUAAAGAAUACAACAAAGCAUUAAAAUUAAUUUUUUAUUAUUUUUCUAUUUUAAUUUUAUUUUUAUAUUCAUUUUUGGUAGAGUAUACAAUAAUCAAUAUUUAUGUCAAGAAAAUAAAGACGAUUUUGCUGCUGUUACCCAACCAUUGUGAAUUUGAACAUUUUGCAAAAGAAUAAUAUGAAAAUAAUAUAAAAGAGAAUUUACUUGAAAAUAAAUAAAUUUUUGUGCAAAAGAAGAGUAAAUGGAACGUCGUUGACAGGAUUUCCAAUUUCCAAUUUACAGCAAUCUUCAAAGAGAUUUAUUUUUUUUCCCGCAUAUGUAAGUGAUUGCUGAAUUAUUUUAGAGAAGAAAAGAAUUUUCAAUAUGCAUGCCAUGAUAAUAAUUCACGUUUUACAGAGGAAAAGUAAAAUUUAAAUUCUUGUAUCGAAAAAAGUGAUGUAUGUUUUAUUCUUCGAUUUUUUUACAAUUUUUUUUUAUGUUUGUGCUGUACAACGAAUGUGAAUGUUUUGCAAACAGGCAACAAAAGAAGAAUUUAUUUGAAAAUAAAUAAAUUUUUUCGCAAAAAGAAGAUGAAUGGAACAUGUCAUGAUCAGGAUUUUCUUCAACCCACGUAUUCAUCUCUCUGCCACGUUCCGUAAACUUUCUCUUUAAAUUAAUCUACUCCAGAUCUCUUUCUCUCUCUUUCUCUCUCCCUCUCUCUGUAUUUUAAUCUUUCUCGUUGCACGUACACAAUUUAAAAAUAUGAAUUUGCAUUCAAAGUUUAAUCGCGUUUAAAGUUGGCGAGUGACAAGAAGAGAAACGCGAACACAGAACCUUCCUCCUAUCCGUUUGAAUAUUUUUUCCACCGUCGAUUUACGCGAAAAAGCGCGUCGUCGAUCGACUCAUAAACUCGGGGAAAAACGAAAAACAAAACGAGUCGUUAAAAAACUCGUUAAUAUCCUCGAUCGAUGUAACAUUGGCGCAGUUUUUGUCAAUUUUCAGGCGUACGCGAAGAAAAUGACGCGGACUCGGUGACGCGUAAACAAAUCCUCCAUACAAAUGCAAAUUUCGUUUCUACCGUUGCUUUUUUCUCCUCCCGUAAUACGCGUAAUUUUUACGCGGUAAAUCGUUAUUGGGGAUCGUAAAUGGGUGGAAAUUUUUGCGCAAACGGGGCGGGCGCGCGAAUCGAAGCGAAAUGGAGCGCGCGUUGUUUCUCUUUCGUCCUCGAUUCGAUUCCACGCGUAUCGCCGCUCCAUCGUGCAACUUUCAUUUCCCGUUCAUAGUUCGAUCUCGUACUAUUUUUCCAAUAUUUCACGGGUAAAUUUCCGAGGAGAUGUUUUAAAUCGUCGCGCUAACGAACGCGUAUCUUUCUCUUUAAAAAAAAAAAAAUUCCAAACUAAAAUUUCUUUCCACAUCAACUUGGAAGGUUGCAGAAUUAAUAAUUGGAACGCGUUCGAUUUAUUCUCGAUCGUUUUCACAGAUCCCUUUUAUACCCGCUAAGAAAUCGUGAAAUUUUUUUUUGAUCCGUGAGAAAUUACCGUUCUGCUGCUCGAGUGACGAGUAAGAAUCAAAAAGAAUUCAAUUUGCAUGAGAAAGAAUCUCCACCGCUCAAACGUGGUUUUACAGCCGCUCGUAAAAGUGGGGGGAAGGGAGGAAAAAGUGGCGGAUAGUGGGAAAAAAAAAAAAAGAGGAAAGAAAAGGACGUGGCAACGUGGUCAGGGGAAAGAAAAGAGGAAGAAAAUGGAAAUACGAAAAACCGAGCAUCCCAGCCGGCAUAAAAUUACGCGGAAUUACGCGUAUGUCUGCCGGAAUUGUAGCCCUCUCUCUUUCGGCCCCGACGCUUCUUCCUAAAUAUUAAUGCUCCCACUCUCCUUCGACCGUGCUAAUUAUUUACAGAUCCCGCGGGAGACGCGACCGCCAUAUAUAUCUCUAUAAACCUUGCUAUCUUCCUGUCCUCUGUCGUCGUCGUAAAACCUUCGAUCGUCGUAAAAAAAGAAAGAGAGAGAAAGAGGGAAAGAAAGAAAAACGUAAAAUUCCACUUGGGUCGGCCGAAGCGAAAUCAAGCGUGCUUAUCGGCCCAAUUUCAACCCUAUCUUAUCCACGCGUAUAUUCGAUCAUUUUCGCACGGGAAAAUGUAUCUUUACGUCUUACGCGAUAAGCUGUUUUACGAUUUCACUCAGUUCUUUCUUUCUUUCUUUCUUUCUUUUGUUCGUUCGUUGGUUGACAAAAUUUUGUGAAAUUCGUAUCAAGAUGUACUAUGGAGAUUAUGGGGAUUAAGAUUUACGAGGAGUGGAAAAAUAUAGCGAAAAAUGCGAAUUUAAUACGAAUAGAAUGGAACACGGAACAAUUUUAAAUAUAAAAGACGAUAUAGAAAUGAUUUGACAAUUUUUGCGACUUACGCGAAUUGGCGCGGAAAGAGAGGAUGAAAAUUGCUGGAACAAUUGGGGAAAGUUAUUGUAUUCGGGGCGCGAUUCAAAAUUCUCAAUCGCGUCCCGAAGAAAAUAUACGAGGCAUUACGAAUUAACAGGGAUUCGAGAUCAACGUUAUCCUCCGGGGCUUGUUUUCCCUCGGAAUUUUCGUUGAAUAUCAAAAACGAUUGAUCGAUGAACAGCGGUGCAGCUGUUUAGUUGGAAGACUUUCAUUUCCCGGAGGGAGGAAUAUGAUUUAAAAGAAUUAAAAUGCUCGCUAUAUAUAUAUACAUAUAUAUAUAUACACACGUAUAAAAGGUACAGCUGGUUUCUACGGAGAAUAGAGGGGUGCAUUCCCAAGAGAUGUUUAAAAAAGUAAGGAAUUCUCUGCGGUAGCAUUUAACAAGAACCGAAGAACUUUUAUUAUUCGAGUUAUGCUUUAAAAUUAAACAAUAUAAAUCAAGAUGAAAGAAAAAUUGAAAAACGUAUUUGCCGUUGAACGUUCGAAGAGAUUGAAAAAUUGUUGGAUUUUAUCGGAAAAAUAAUUGUAAUUAUAAUUAUCGACGUGAAGUACGUACGUAUCGUACGUUUCCAAUAUAAUCUACGCGUAAAAUUAAAGUUAUUUCGUCGAUAUCGAUUAUUCGAAAGGAUAUAUCGGACAAGUUUCGCGAAACUUUUCGACGAAUCCAACGAAACUUAUCGAUGGAACGCCACCAUUACGGUUGAAACAUUUAUGGCGAUGAAACAAUGCUUUGUACCCUGGAAAAGAAACCAUUCCGGCGAUUUUCGCGAUACAAAGAGGCACAAAGGAGCACCCUAAAAAGCAUUCCACCAAAGAAACUUUGAAACCUGUUACAAAGAGGCGGGAAGGAAGGAAAAACUCACCGUCAUCCGCAUUACUCUCGAAUCUCGUCAUUUUUCGAUAAUAAAACUCUUUUACUUUUAAAAAGCGGAAGAAAGAGGAGAUCGGGGUUGCGAUUCAAUUACCAUCUUUUCUUUCCCGACCGAUAUAUAACCAUUCUGUACGCGUGAUCGCAAUUUCAUUCGCCACGCUACCUAUAUACCUGUUAUGCUUCUCUCGUACCACGCGUUCCUCACAGCCAGCGCCUUAAUCACGACGACGUAUUUACAACCCGAUCACCAUAAAAUGGACCGAAUUAUGGGGAAUCGAUGCUCCGAUCGAAAUCGAGGCUUCAUAGACGCGUUGUUCACAUCCACUCCUCCUCCCCUUCGAUUCGUCCCAAUAAAGAACCCGUCAACUAAAAGGUAAAAAGUUGGAGAAAGUUGGGGAAUCGAAAAUCAAAGAAACGCGCGAAUCAUCGAUACGGAUUGCGCGUGAAAUAUACGUGGACCGACGUAUAUAUGUAUAAUGAUUAAAUAUUUGACGUUUGACGUUUCGCAUUUAUGAUUAUUCAUGAAGCGUUCAAUCAUUUCCAUGGGUUUUCCGUUCGUUGCUUUAAUUCGCGAGCAAAAGUACGCAAAAUGCAGCAACGAUUUCUUCGAAAAUGUUAUUAAAAAUGUUACGUUAUUGAUAUAAUAGGUUAACAACAACGAUGAUAUCCAUUCCAUCGAGAUUUCGUGCAAAAUAAAUGAUCAACAGUCCCGAUGGGAUGUUAUGCGCGUAAUCAUUCACGAAGCAACAAUUACCAGAGAUUUUAAUGAAUUUUCAAUCGACUGUUAUCGUCGUUUCGAUUAUUAACGAUUCGCUCCUGAUACCUGUGCCGAGUAUAAAUCUGUCCGACCUCUCUAAUCAGCGAAAUUUCGUUCGACAACUAUUCCGAUAUCGUUGAUCGCUUGCUCGAGAUCUUAGAAUCGAAUCGUGGCGCAUCUUUCAUUCUUUUCGACUCCUGUCUCUCACGUUCCGUUGCGUCCAUCGACGAUUUACGUCUACAAUUGGCCGAGUGUCGUCGAGAGGGAAAUUUCUCUAACUCACGAUGAAUCGCAACAUUCGAUGAAACAUUUCCGCCCAAAAUGCACACGCCCUUUUAAAUUACAAUCGAAAAUAAUUAACGAUAACUACGAUUAUUAGCAAUAUCGAUGAAAAGUUUCGAGAGGUUUCGUCGUAUUUAUACAUAGAUUUUCCAAAUAGAUUAUCGUUUUUUCGGUGAAAACGUGUCCGCAUCGAAGACGGUUGAUCAGAAUUUUCUCUACUAAUUGGGACGCAGGUGGUACGGAUAAACUCGCGUCGAGAGGAUUUUGAAACUAGAGGGAGCAAAAGGGUUUCUCUUCCUGUUGUUCCAGAACGGUUUAUUUUUCCAACGAUCGCGUAGCGUCGGAAAUGUGUCGCGUUAAAAGAUUAAAUUCCGUUGAAUUACAGGUUUUUUUUUUUUUUUAACAACGAAAUUACGACAUUAUAUUCGGAGAAAAAGGAAGCAGGGAAAGAGAGAUUAACCGAUGUUCUCUCCGGUGAAUGAUUCGAUUGAUCGAAAUGCUCGUUGAUCGAAUGGAGGUGCGAUUGGUCGCCUGUCGUUCUACCAUAAAAAAAUCAAUUACCGUCGGAUAAAUCAUUUUCGUUCAUUAUUCGGUUCGCUCGGUUUCGCUGAUUUUUAUUCAUUAAUUCGGAAAACGGCGAAACGAUUUGAUUAUUCCGAGCGAUUAUCGACGGAAUCUAGUUCAUCUCGUGGCCGAGAUCGAUUCACCACGAGUCAUUGCGCGCGUUACCGUAAAACGUUCAGGGUUCGGUGACGAAGGAAGUCGAUUUAAAAUGCACGUGUGCCCCUUCGUGUUUCAAAAGCUCUGUCGAAAAAAAUUUCAUCGAAAGAUAAAUAUCACCAGUGUACGAGUUUCGGAUCAAACGCGAGCAUAUUACGCUUUGCACGUACGUUUCGACGGAAUCGUACAAUUUUUAAUACGAUUUAACGCGAUAUAUUCGAUACGUUUCGUGCAAUUCAAGCGUUUUGAUACAUUGAAUAAUCGAUUCUAAUGUGAUUAAACUUAAUAGUCGGCUAGAUGACGUAUCAAACGAUUCGUUAUAUAUUUAUCUAACACGGAUGGUAAAUCUUAUCUUUCCUUUUUUUGCCAACUUUGAAACGUUGAAAUUGUUACGCAUAAUCGAAAUAUGAUAAAUAUAUAAUCGAGAAAAGAAUAUAAAGUCGUUUCGAAAUUUAGAUCGAAGCGCUUCCGAUAAAUGUUUAUCGGAGAAGCGAAACAGAAGCGACUUCCUAUGAGUCAUUAUGAGGCGGGCCGCGUUGAAAUAUCGCUGCUUUUACCGCGUCACGUAAUUGCGACCUGCCGGAAUAUUCGAGCCGGAAAAGGAGCCUACCUGCCCUUUACAUAUCGCGUGUUUCGAUGAUCGAAACGAUGGCGAAUAACAUGGUUGCUGACUUUUGUCUCCUUUGUAGUUUUGCGGAUGUUUGCGUGCUGGACGGUGAUGAAAUUUCGAAACACCGUUGUUCGAUCGAGGGAUCGUCGAUCCUGAUUAACUACAACUGUUUAACUGAAUAUUUCGCGAAGGUUAUAAACAGAAAAUCCGAUUAAAGACCAAAUUACCCGUCGUCGAAAUUUAACUUUGAAAUCGUGUUCGAUCAAUGUAAAUCGUAUUCGUAAGUCGAAGUUGCCAAGUCUCAACGCGUCUUAAAACGAAAACAAGAAGGGUCGAUGCUUUGGAAAAUUUCACGUAGCCUCCAAAAAGAUAUCUUUCCUUCGAAGAAAAAUGUAUUUAUACGUAGAGAGAAUAUAGGAAGAAUGUAGGCGUGGAGAGAAAAAUCGAAAAAUGAUUCACUCCUCUUAAUAAGUUCGAACCACGAUCCGUCUUGUUGCCGAAAUUUCGAUCGACGUGGAGAUGACGAGCCGUGAUUCGAAGCUGGGCGUCGCGAAAAAACGCCGUGCAAUCGCACGUCCGCUAUCAAAUCUGAUUUUAUACCCUCGAAUCGGAAUCGUUCGAGCCUCGAUUCAUUUUGAUCGUUGCGGGCAACCCCGUUACGCGGUUCCCUCGUGUCCCCACCCCUCGUCGAAUCUAUCCGGCGUUGUGCGCGCGAAUGAUCUCGGGGAGACGAUCGGUCCACGAGGUCGUUUGAAAGAAAAGAAAAAAGAGAAAAAAACUCAUUUUCGAAUGUUAUUCUCAAACGAGACGCAUUUCCUCGAUUUUCGGUAAAUAUUGAAUUACUGUGCACCACUCUGUACGAGAUAAAAUAAAUCUUCUUACCGCUGUUGGCGUUACGCGGCUUUACCGGCCCGACUUUAUACGGCUAAUGGCGAAGAUAAAUGUGAAAUAUUAAGAAUGACGUUAUCUGAAAAACCGUUUCUUAGAAAACUCCAUCUCACGAUUCUCUAUAAAUUGAGUAUUACAUUGAUCCAUAUACGAAACGUCUUUCGAAUCGAUCGAUUCGUUUUUUUGAUAAUUUCUUACUCCAGAGAGAGAGUAUCGCGCUGUAUUUAUGAAUUGUUAACGCGUUCGUUGAAAUCUUUCGCUUGAUCGAUGGAGAAUCAAUUUUUUUCGUUGGAUCGACGGAGGAAAGAUUAGAGGAAAGGAAGAAGCAAUCGGUGACGAAACAAACGAACGGCACUCGUCUCGUUCCAACGUUUCCGCUCGAGCACGCGUUCGCAUUUUGAAGAGUGGGCCGGCUAACAAGACGCGCUCGAAAUCGACACGUGCACCCACCCUUCCCACCUCCAAACAUCGUCUAGCGCGAGAAUCGAGAGGAACUUUGAUGCGGUGUACUCUCGAGCGUGUACUGGCGCGAGAAUUAAAACGUGUCAAAGAGUUGAAUUUGACUUGACGUGUUUUUUCAACGCCGACAACCUUUGUGAUCGCGCCAACGCACUCGAUUCAAGUUGCUCUUAUUCGUUUUCGAAUACCAGACGCCAAAGAUUUCGAGAUUCGAUCGAGGAGUUAUACUCGUAGGGCAAAAAAAAAAAGUAAUUAAGCGAUGCCAAAGAAAGAAAAAAGAAAAAAAAAAGAGAAUUCCAACUCGAAACGAAAAGAGAAUAUCGAUAAAUCGCGCUCGUUAUUAUUAUCAAAUUCGAGAUGCGAUCCUGUGUUUCAAACGUGUAUAUUUACACGUGUAGAAAAUUUUUUCGAGUAUUGUAACGGAAGACACGAUUGUUCGAUAAAUAAAUCGAUCAAAGAUGCGGUACGGAAACAGAAUUUGCUGAUAAUUUAUCGUGCGUAUAUAUCUCUGUUCGAGCAUGAGCAAAAAUUAAUCUGGAUAUAUUAGCGAUAUUAGCAAAUAACGCGUCAGAGGUAGAGAUGACUGGCGGCUAUGUGCCCGAGAGUAUCCAUCGGACAGGAUCGAUGAUUCUGUACAGAUUUCUAUGGACAUUCGUAAAGAGAGAAUGGUCGAAACGUUGUUUGAAUUGGAUAGAUGUUUGUCUAAAGGGAAAAAUUGGAGAACGAAUCUGCCGAUCGUUUUAUACACGAUGUAUAUAAUCGAUUCGCGCAAAUUUUAAUCUUACUUUUCGAUUCGAGCACCCAUCUCUUACAAAUCCUACUUUUAAACCCUUAACCUGAAAAAUGUGCGUAAAAUCUGCGUAAAGAAAUCCGUAAUCUAUUAACCAUGGAAAGAAUAAUUUUCAACAGUCGUCGAAAAAUCGAAAAUGAACCGAGAGAGAGAAAGAGAGAGAGAGAGAGUUAAAAUCAUAGGAGAGAAAGA